CAGUCGCCGCGGUAAUACGGAGGGAGCCAGCGUUGUUCGGAAUUACUGGGCGUAAAGCGCACGUAGGCGGCUUUGUAAGUUAGAGGUGAAAGCCUGGAGCUCAACUCCAGAAUUGCCUUUAAGACUGCAUCGCUUGAAUCCGGGAGAGGUGAGUGGAAUUCCGAGUGUAGAGGUGAAAUUCGUAGAUAUUCGGAAGAACACCAGUGGCGAAGGCGGCUCACUGGUCCAUAACUGACGCUGAGGUGCGAAAGCGUGGGGAGCAAACAGGAUUAGAUACCCCGGUAGUCCCUGUCUCUUAUAC
RNAcentral lists this ribosomal RNA (301 nucleotides) under uncultured bacterium. RNAcentral describes it as "partial 16S ribosomal RNA". It matches the Rfam family "Bacterial small subunit ribosomal RNA", at positions 509 to 807 of the family's 1533-position model. The record is from RNAcentral.